AAGUGCUUAUUUAGUACCUUUUACCAUUUCAAAUACUUAGACUAUCUGAGGCCAAGUGGGAGAGAUUAAGCUCUAUGCUGUAAACAGUUAAGGAUUCAAUUUAUCAGCAUUUAACAGUUCCACAUUAUUUUCCACCUCCAACAUACAUGAUUAUACCAAUAUUAACACACCAGCAAUAAAAUAACCAUAAAAUGGGAGGCAUGGGUGAAGAAGGAAUUGUGGUGAAAAUAUCUUCAUAUAAUAAAUUAUAACUAUAAUCUGUAUUAUCUAUUUUGACAGAAAUAAUUCUCCCACUACUAUGCCAGAAGUUACGUAUGAUGGUGCUGGAUAUUUACAGUUAUCAGAAGAGUAUCUACUUCUAUCUUAUCUAUAGUUGAUGGUAGUUUUAUAAUUUUGCAUACUUUGUGCAUGUUCCAGUGAAAACUCCAAAAAACCAUAAAGAAUUUAUCUAGACCAUGGGCUUUAGUCAUACUUUAAAUAAACCUUUAAUAUAA
RNAcentral lists this long non-coding RNA (494 nucleotides) under Pan troglodytes (chimpanzee). Its description in RNAcentral is "lincRNA". Lineage: Eukaryota; Metazoa; Chordata; Mammalia; Primates; Hominidae. The record is from RNAcentral.